CUCCAGCAGAUUACUUUAGAUAUGUCCAGAUAAGGGACUUCGCUAGAAGACCUCGUAUUAAAGCUGCAGCCCAGGGACAGUUUACUUUUUACGAGAGACUAUGUAGAGAGGGAUCUGCCCCCAAAGGAAUGAUUACGCUUCUGUAUGCUCAUCUCAGCACGGAGACUAAAGAAUGGGGUAGAUUGAAGUACACUGAUAGAUGGGAAUCGGACCUGGG
Molecule: non-coding RNA, 217 nt
Organism: Pelobates cultripes (western spadefoot toad)
Lineage: Eukaryota; Metazoa; Chordata; Amphibia; Anura; Pelobatidae
Source: the annotation of a GenBank genome assembly